RNAcentral lists this ribosomal RNA (253 nucleotides) under uncultured bacterium. Its description in RNAcentral is "partial 16S ribosomal RNA". It matches the Rfam family "Bacterial small subunit ribosomal RNA", at positions 524 to 776 of the family's 1533-position model. The record is from RNAcentral.
GACAGAGGUGCCGAGCGUUAGGCGGAAUCACUGGGCUUAAAGCGUGUGUAGGCGGAUCGUUAAGUAUCUUGUGAAAUCCCACGGCUCAACCGUGGAACUGCUGGGUAUACUGGCGAUCUUGAGCAACCUAGGGGCAGACGGAACAAGUGGUGGAGCGGUGAAAUGCGUAGAUACCACUUGGAACGCCGACGGUGAAAACAGUCUGCUGGGGGUUUGCUGACGCUGAGACACGAAAGCCAGGGGAGCGAACGGG